AACUUUGGUGUUUGCAGUUGUUUGUGAGGGUGAACGACCAACGCACGUACCUCCAGAAUGAGCUGCUGAUAUGCCAGAACAACAUCUUGCGUUUGCAGAAGAACGGACCUUAUUGGCAGAACGUUCCGCGAAAGAACGACGAGCGAGUGCUGGACCCAAAGCGAGGACCUAUAAAGAAGAUGUUUUCUGAGCGUCUCCCGCCCAUUCCCACGCAAUGACGUCGUCUGCCGUAACAUCGACGUUUAGUUCACUUUGAUUUAUAUUAGGCGUAGGCGGUAGUGUUGGUUGUAGCCGAUCGGUCUGUGUUCAACUUAUUAUAUCCCAUCGUAAUUUGGAAAGACACUUUAUCAGCCAACGUAAGUUAGAAUAUUCAUAAUACAUGGUCAAGGAGCGUGGACAUUUCUGUGUCCAUCAAUGUGAAUAAUAAAGGAUAUUAUAUUAUUUCUCCCUCUUGUGAUAA
Ostrinia furnacalis (Asian corn borer) is the source of this 460-nucleotide long non-coding RNA. RefSeq lists it as uncharacterized. NCBI's taxonomy places the organism in Eukaryota, Metazoa, Arthropoda, Insecta, Lepidoptera, Crambidae. The record is from RefSeq and is a predicted model, not a curated record. The transcript has 2 exons.